AAAAAAUAACACGUGAGUAACCUGCCCUUGACUUUGGGAUAACUUCAGGAAACUGGGGCUAAUACCGGAUAGGAGCUCCUGCUGCAUGGUGUGGUUUGGAAAGUUUCGGCGGUUGGGGAUGGACUCGCGGCUUAUCAGCUUGUUGGUGGGUUAGUGGCUUACCAAGGCUUUGACGGGUACCCGGCCUGAGAGGGUGACCGGCCAAAUGGGGAAUGAGAGAAGGACAAGAAUCAUAAGGGAGGAAGCAGUGGGGAAUAUGGCAAAAUGGGCGGAAGCCGGAUGAAGCAACGAUUGUUUUGUUUAAA
RNAcentral lists this ribosomal RNA (305 nucleotides) under uncultured bacterium. Its description in RNAcentral is "partial 16S ribosomal RNA". It matches the Rfam family "Bacterial small subunit ribosomal RNA", at positions 100 to 396 of the family's 1533-position model. The record is from RNAcentral.